RNAcentral lists this ribosomal RNA (467 nucleotides) under uncultured bacterium. RNAcentral's name for it is "bacterial SSU rRNA". It matches the Rfam family "Bacterial small subunit ribosomal RNA", at positions 30 to 507 of the family's 1533-position model. The record is from RNAcentral.
UGAACGCUGGCGGCGUGCUUAACACAUGCAAGUCGAACGAAGAUGCCGGAGUGCUUGCACUUUGGCAGACUGAGUGGCGGACGGGUGAGUAACGCGUGAGGAACCUGCCUUGAAGAGGGGGACAACAGUUGGAAACGACUGCUAAUACCGCAUGAAGCAUAGGGGUCGCAUGAUUCUUAUGCCAAAGAUUUAUCGCUUCAAGAUGGCCUCGCGUCUGAUUAGCUAGUUGGCGGGGUAACGGCCCACCAAGGCGACGAUCAGUAGCCGACCUGAGAGGGUGACCGGCCACAUUGGGACUGAGACACGGCCCAGACUCCUACGGGAGGCAGCAGUGGGGAAUAUUGCACAAUGGAGGAAACUCUGAUGCAGCGACGCCGCGUGAGUGAAGAAGUAAUUCGUUAUGUAAAGCUCUAUCAGCAGGGAAGAUAGUGACGGUACCUGACUAAGAAGCUCCGGCUAAAUACGUG